RNAcentral lists this ribosomal RNA (234 nucleotides) under uncultured bacterium. Its description in RNAcentral is "partial 16S ribosomal RNA". It matches the Rfam family "Bacterial small subunit ribosomal RNA", at positions 96 to 334 of the family's 1533-position model. The record is from RNAcentral.
CGGCGAACGGGUGAGUAACACGUGGAUAACCUGCCCUGAGGUGGGGGAUAACCCGGGGAAACUCGGGCUAAUACCGCAUGAUACCGAGAGGUCAAAGGGGGCUCGCAAGGGCUCUCGCCAUAGGAGGGGUCCGCGUCCGAUUAGCUAGUUGGUAGGGUAAUGGCCUACCAAGGCGACGAUCGGUAGCCGGCCUGAGAGGGUGAUCGGCCACACUGGAACUGAGACACGGUCCAG